Eriocheir sinensis (Chinese mitten crab) is the source of this 1159-nucleotide long non-coding RNA. RefSeq lists it as uncharacterized. The record is from RefSeq and is a predicted model, not a curated record. The transcript has 3 exons. NCBI's taxonomy places the organism in Eukaryota, Metazoa, Arthropoda, Malacostraca, Decapoda, Varunidae.
UCGGAAAUAAUAGUAAGGUCUGAGGCUAAGCGUUCUGCAGCCUCCAGCCUUGAGUCGUUAAGUUCCGUAGGGUGGGUCUUCUAUUAAAAGAAGUUGAGUAAUGCAGAGUGGAAUCAUCGGCGUAGGAAUGGAUAGGACAGUUCGUUUUGGAAAGAAGAUCAUCAAUGAACAACAGAAAAAGAGUGGGAGAUAGGACAGAACCCUGUGGGACACCACUGUUAAUAGAUUUAGGGGAAGAACAGUGACCGUCUACCACGGCAGAAAUAGAACGGUCAGAAAGAAAACUGGAGAUAAAGGUACAGAGAGAAGGAUAGAAACCGUAGGAGGGUAGUUUAGAAAGCAAAGAUUUGUGCCAGACCCUAUCAAAAGCUUUUGAUAUGUCCAGCGCAAUAGCAAAAGUUUCACCGAAACGGCUAAGAGAGGAUGACCAAGAGUCAGUUAAGAAGGCUAGGAGAUCACCAGUAGAACGCCCCUUGCGGAACCCAUACUGGCGAUCAGAUAGAAGGUCAGAAGUGGAAAGGUGCUUUUGAACCUUCCGGUUAAGGAUUGAUUCAAAAGCUUUAGAUAGACAAGAAAGUAAAGCAAUAGGACGGUAGUUUGAGGGAUUGGAGCGGUCACCCUUCUUAGGCACAGGCUGUAUGAAUGCAUACUUCCAGCAAGAAGGAAAGGUAGAUGUUGACAGGCAGAGGCGAAAGAGUUUGACCAGGCAAGGUGACAGCACGGAGGCACAGUUUUUAAGGACAAUAGGAGGCACUCCAUCAGGUCCAUAAGCCUUCUGAGGAUUGAGGCCAGAGAGGGCAUAGAAAACAUCAUUUUGAAGAAUCUUUAUAACAGGCAUAAAGGAGUCAGAGGGGGGAUGAGUAGGAGGAAUAUGCCCAGAAUCGUCCAGAGUGGAGUUUUUAGAAAAGUCUGAGAGAAGAGUUCAGCCUUAGAGAUAGAUGAGACGGCAGUGUUGCCGUCAGGACUGAGGAUUGGAGGGAAAGAUGAAGUGAAGUUGGAGGAGAUGUUUUUGGCUAGAUGCCAGAAGUCACGGGAAGAGUUAGAGAAAGCAAGGUUUUGACAUUUUCUAUUAAUGAAAGAAUUUUUGGUUAGUCGGAGAAUAGAUUUGGCACGAUUUCGGGCAGAAAUGUAAAGUUCAUAAUUAGCAUUAGUUUGAAGG